CGUGCUUAACACAUGCAAGUUGAACGAGAAUUUUCAGUCGAUUUCUUCGGAAUGAAACGGAAAAAGGAAAGUAGCGAACGGGUGAGUAACACGUGAGAAACCUGCCUUUCGCAAAGGGAUAGCCUCGGGAAACCGGGAUUAAUACCUUAUGAUACAUUAAUAUCGCAUGAUGUAAAUGUUAAAGAAUUUCGGUGAAAGAUGGUCUCGCGUCUGAUUAGCUAGUUGGUAAGGUAGUGGCUUACCAAGGCGACGAUCAGUAGCCGGAUUGAGAGGUUGAACGGCCACACUGGAACUGAGACACGGUCCAGACUCCUACGGGAGGCAGCAGUGGGGAAUUUUGCACAAUGGGGGAAACCCUGAUGCAGCGACGCCGCGUGAACGAUGAAGGUCUUCGGAUUGUAAAGUUCUGUCCUUAGCGAAGAUAAUGACAGUAGCUAAGAAGCAAGCCCUGGCUAAAUACGUGCCAGCAGCCGCGGUAAUACGUAUGGGGCAAGCGUUGUCCGGAAUUAUUGGGCGUAAAGGGUAUGUAGGCGGUUAAUUAAGUCUGAAUUCAAAGGCUGUGGCUCAACCACAGUUCGGUUUAGAAACUGGUUAACUUGAGUAGAUGAGGGGAAAGUGGAAUUCCAUGUGUAGCGGUGAAAUGCGUAGAUAUAUGGAGGAACACCAGUGGCGAAGGCGACUUUCUGGAAUCUAACUGACG
RNAcentral lists this ribosomal RNA (700 nucleotides) under uncultured Clostridium sp. RNAcentral's name for it is "bacterial SSU rRNA". It matches the Rfam family "Bacterial small subunit ribosomal RNA", at positions 43 to 745 of the family's 1533-position model. Lineage: Bacteria; Bacillati; Bacillota; Clostridia; Eubacteriales; Clostridiaceae. The record is from RNAcentral.